Long non-coding RNA from Episyrphus balteatus (marmalade hoverfly), 632 nucleotides. RefSeq lists it as uncharacterized. The record is from RefSeq and is a predicted model, not a curated record. Lineage: Eukaryota; Metazoa; Arthropoda; Insecta; Diptera; Syrphidae. The transcript is spliced from 2 exons.
UCAAUAUCUUUGAGAAAAAAAAAAAUUAAUUUUGGAAAAAAAUAAGUACCUUUAGGAAGUUUUAAUAUGGCGUUUUGGGAUUUUAUAAGUGUAGUUUUCCAAAAAAAAAUAUCAAACGGUGAUGUGAUUCGACGUCGAAUGUACUAAAAAAACGCGUUUUUGACCUGUUUAUAUCCAAGUAUUACAAAAACGUGACUUGCCAGUGAAUUUUUGAUUUCGGAUUCUGAGUGAGCAUAUCCUUAGUAGGGUUUGGAUCAGAAAAACAAUUAUUUUCGAGACGAAAGAAAUUGAAAAUGAUGAAACUUAAAAAUACUUUCUAUAAGAGGGCAUCAAAAAAAUUGUUAUUCAAAGUAUAGUAAAAAAUAUCCAAACUGUAACUCAAUUGUCGUUAUAUCAAAUUUGACGAUUACACGACUUUUGUUAAAUUGUGGGAGUGGCAGUGGACAAAAGAUUUACUUUUUAUUAUGCCUAGUACUGUUCCUUAUGAUGGCUUAAAAUUUUAUAUAAAUCGGUUGGCUGGUUCGGGAUUUAUAGCUUAACACAAAUUUAUGCUGACCCACCGUACACUGUGGUGUAUGCGCACUAUUUUUUUCUAACGAAAUAAAACAUUUUCUGGAUUUUGUUUUUGAUUA